GCUGGGAUAGCUCAGUUGAUUAGAGCAUGGUGCUGAUAGUGGCAAGGUUGCAGGUUCAAUCCCCCUAUGGGGCAGCU
Non-coding RNA from Podarcis lilfordi (Lilford's wall lizard), 77 nucleotides. Lineage: Eukaryota; Metazoa; Chordata; Lepidosauria; Squamata; Lacertidae. The record is from the annotation of a GenBank genome assembly.